AUGAUUCAACCCGACAAUUCUAAGUAUAGGCCCGGUUCAGAGCCGAAAGUCGCGAAAUGUCCCCUUUCAUGCUUAGUUUAAUUUUAGCGGUUGUAACCGAAAGUCAAGCGUCUUCGAUAAACGCUUUGACUUUUAAACGGUUGAGCCAUGGUUCGCUUCGAACAUGGCUACGUGAUCGUAAAUAGGUAGGCAAUUAACCCUCAAAAGGGCGCCUCCUAAUUACCACAUUUACUUGGUUUCAUUGUCGGAUCAACUUAAAGUCAAACGGGUUAGUUUUAAAUAAAGUACAUAG
Molecule: long non-coding RNA, 292 nt
Filed under: Helianthus annuus (common sunflower)
Lineage: Eukaryota; Viridiplantae; Streptophyta; Magnoliopsida; Asterales; Asteraceae
Description: sRNA HanXRQr2_Chr17g0788241
Source: RNAcentral